This 492-nucleotide ribosomal RNA is filed under the name uncultured bacterium. Its description in RNAcentral is "partial 16S ribosomal RNA". It matches the Rfam family "Bacterial small subunit ribosomal RNA", at positions 29 to 507 of the family's 1533-position model. The record is from RNAcentral.
AGUGAACGCUGGCGGUAGGCCUAACACAUGCAAGUCGAACGGCAGCACAGUAAGAGCUUGCUCUUACGGGUGGCGAGUGGCGGACGGGUGAGGAAUACAUCGGAAUCUACUUUUUCGUGGGGGAUAACGUAGGGAAACUUACGCUAAUACCGCAUACGACCUACGGGUGAAAGCAGGGGAUCUACGGACCUUGCGCGAUUGAAUGAGCCGAUGUCGGAUUAGCUAGUUGGCGGGGGAAAGGCCCACCAAGGCGACGAUCCGUAGCUGGUCUGAGAGGAUGAUCAGCCACACUGGAACUGAGACACGGUCCAGACUCCUACGGGAGGCAGCAGUGGGGAAUAUUGGACAAUGGGCGCAAGCCUGAUCCAGCCAUACCGCGUGGGUGAAGAAGGCCUUCGGGUUGUAAAGCCCUUUUGUUGGGAAAGAAAAGCAGCAGGUUAAUACCCCGCUGUUCUGACGGUACCCAAAGAAUAAGCACCGGCUAACUUCGUG